Molecule: unclassified non-coding RNA, 379 nt
Filed under: uncultured bacterium
Lineage: Bacteria
Description: contains 16S-23S intergenic spacer region
Source: RNAcentral
UCCGAGUUGACCCCGGCAGUCUCCUACGAGUCCCCGCCAUUACGCGCUGGCAACAUAGGACAAGGGUUGCGCUCGUUGCGGGACUUAACCCAACAUCUCACGACACGAGCUGACGACAGCCAUGCAGCACCUGUCUCCGCGCCCCUUGCGGGGACCGCCCAUCUCUGAGCGUAGCGCGGGAUGUCAAACCCUGGUAAGGUUCUGCGCGUUGCGUCGAAUUGAACCACAUGCUCCGCUGCUUGUGCGGGCCCCCGUCAAUUCCUUUGAGUUUCAGCCUUGCGGCCGUACUCCCCAGGCGGGGCACUUAAUGCGUUAGCGCCGGCACUCGGAGGGUCGCUCCCCCAAGCACCUAGUGCCCAUCGUUUACGGCGUGGACUAC